This 703-nucleotide long non-coding RNA is filed under the name Lupinus angustifolius (narrow-leaved blue lupine). Its description in RNAcentral is "long non-coding RNA (LANG_LNC002747)". Lineage: Eukaryota; Viridiplantae; Streptophyta; Magnoliopsida; Fabales; Fabaceae. The record is from RNAcentral.
UUAUGUUUGAGGAGUAGGAUCCUGAGGCAUUGGAGAAGAUCCUAGUUGCUGCUUCUCGAACAUCAAUUCCAAGGGUUUGAGCUUGUUCUAAUGCAUGCUUCCUUACAUAGUUUUGCUCUGCUGGUUCAUCUAAUUCAGCUACCAUCUUCACUGCUCUAUCCAGAAGAUUCAUCUGUCGAAAAUUAUAUAACACUAUGAGCAACCAAAGCAAUGGAGCAACAAACAUUCUAGUAAAAUAAGAUGAAAGAUAACACAUAAAAUUGUAUCCCAAAUAUCAUUUCGUGUUCGAGACAAAUCAAUGAAUAUGCAAUGAAGCGAAGAUAUUAGUUUUUCAGAUGAAGAGAAAAAGGUUGAAGUAUUCCUACACCACAACUAUUUUAGUAACAAGAUUGGAAUAUGAAGAAUUCAAGUAGUCAUUUUGAACAAAACUCAGAAUACUUCAAUCAAUGAUGGAACACAAAAAAGCAAAAGAAGUGUUACCUGAUUGAUGAAAAGGUCUCUGAACACUCCUGAGCAAUUAACAACAACAUCAAUCCUAGGCCUUCCAAGCUCUUCAAUACUUACAGGUUCCACCCGGUUUACCCUACCGAAGGUAUCAGCCACUGGUCUCACACCAAUCAUCCACAAGACCUGACCCAAGGAUUCACCGUAUGUUUUAAUAUUAUCGGUUCCCCACAAUACAAGUGCUAUCGUCUCAGGAUAC